CAUAUGUUGUCAUGUCUGCAGGCAUUCAAUACACUAUUUAUACUGGUUGUAAGUGUAUUGACUAUAACGACACUGUUAAUAUCACUGCGCAGUUGACCAUUGAAACAUUAAAGAUCAACUAUGAUUAAGUCCCUUGGGGUUUGUAUGUACAUGAUGUUGAUUGUUUCAACUUUAGCGUCAAAUGACUGUUACAGAGACGGUAACUGGUAUGGGGAUGGUGAAGACAUAGGUUUCCAUGACGACUGUUAUGGAUGUAAAUGCAGUGACGGUCUUAUUUUAUGUAUCGACCAAAAUUUGACGUGCGAAAGACCUUCAUGUGGUGAGCGAGCUGUGUCUAUACCAGGUCAAUGUUGUCCAGUGUGCUUGUAGGACAUUCAUAGCAAUACCGGGUGAGCGAGCUGCGUCUAUACCAGGUCAAUGUUGUCCAGUGUGCUUGUAGGACAUUCAUAUCAAUACAUAUAGUUUCACCACUGCGACGAUACAUAUGAUUUUGUUUGUAUUCUAUAUGCCCUCCUGGGGCCCUUAUUUGGUAAAUAAAAAUAUUCUAUUCUU
Mytilus trossulus (common blue mussel) is the source of this 552-nucleotide long non-coding RNA. RefSeq lists it as uncharacterized. The transcript is spliced from 3 exons. NCBI's taxonomy places the organism in Eukaryota, Metazoa, Mollusca, Bivalvia, Mytilida, Mytilidae. The record is from RefSeq and is a predicted model, not a curated record.